This 263-nucleotide ribosomal RNA is filed under the name uncultured Ascomycota. Its description in RNAcentral is "partial 18S ribosomal RNA". It matches the Rfam family "Eukaryotic small subunit ribosomal RNA", at positions 619 to 888 of the family's 1831-position model. Lineage: Eukaryota; Fungi; Ascomycota. The record is from RNAcentral.
UUAAAAAGCUCGUAGUUGAACCUUGGGCCUGGCUGACCUGUCCUCCUAAUCGAGCGCACGGGUUCGGUCGGGCCUUUCCUUCUGGGGAUCCCGAUGCCCUUCACUGGGCGUCGUGGGGAACCAGGACUUUUACCUUGAAAAAAUUAGAGUGUUCAAAGCAGGCCUUUGCUCGAAUACAUUAGCACGGAAUAAUAGAAUAGGACAGAGGUUCUAUUUUGUUGGUUUCUAGGACCGCUGUAAUGAUUAAUAGGGAUAGUCGGGGG